RNAcentral lists this ribosomal RNA (662 nucleotides) under uncultured eukaryote. Its description in RNAcentral is "eukaryotic LSU rRNA". The stretch from base 213 to 367 matches the Rfam family "5.8S ribosomal RNA". The record is from RNAcentral.
UAAAAGUCGUAACAAGGUUUUCGUAGGUGAACCUGCGGAAGGAUCAUUAAUGAAUUCGGGCGCUCGACUCUGAAAUAUUGAGAUCGGCCCCAUUUCUUAAUCCACUUCACACUUGUGCACAUUUUUCCUACUUUCCUUCGGGAGAGUUUGAAAAGCUCUUGUGAUUUUAAUCAAGUCCAGGAUGUGAAUCCAAUUUGAAUAAGUUGUAAAACAACUACAAACGGUGGAUCUCUUGGCUCUCGUAUCGAUGAAGAACGCAGCGAAACGCGAAAUGUAAUGUGAAUUGCAGAAUUCAGUGAAUCAUCGAAUCUUUGAACGCAUCUUGCACUCUCGAAUCACUAUCGAGAGUAUGCCUGUUUGAGUGUCGCGAAACUCUCAACCCCGCCUCAUGCUUUAUUGCGUGUGGGUAGCUUGGGCUUGGAUCAUGAUCUUUGCAGUAAUGCGCUAGCAGAACUGCUGGAUUGAAAUACAACAAGCUGAAUCUAUAUACUUGCGGCUUGACCUGUCGUUGUAAGCACACAAAUGCAUUCGAUGGGGACGCGAGAAAAUGGAAUGAGCUUUCCAAAUGUGUUACACUUUGCAGCUUCUAUUAACUUAGAGCUCUUAGUGCAUUCUGACCUCAAAUCAGGUAGGAUUACCCGCUGAACUUAAGCAUAUCAAUA